GACGAACGCUGGCGGCGUGCUUAACACAUGCAAGUCGAACGGAAAGGCCUGUCCUUCCUUGUGUUGGACGGGUACUCGAGUGGCGAACGGGUGAGUAACACGUGAGUGAUCUGCCCCCAACUUGGGUAUAAGCCUGGGAAACUGGGUCUAAUUCCCGAUAGGACUGCAGGGUGGUGCCUGUGGUGGAAAACGAUUUUCUAGUGGUUGGGGAUGAGCUCGCGGCCUAUCAGCUUGGUGGUGGGGUAAUGGCCUACCAAGGCGGCGACGGGUAGCCGGCCUGAGAGGGUGGACGGCCACAUUGGGACUGAGAUACGGCCCAGACUCCUACGGGAGGCAGCAGUGGGGAAUAUUGCACAAUGGGCGGAAGCCUGAUGCAGCGACGCCGCGUGGGGGAUGACGGCCUUCGGGUUGUAAACUCCUUUCGACCGCGAGGAAGCCGCCUGGUUGGAAGGGUGGUGACGGUAGUGGUAGAAGAAGCACCGGCUAACUACGUG
This 494-nucleotide ribosomal RNA is filed under the name uncultured bacterium. RNAcentral describes it as "partial 16S ribosomal RNA". It matches the Rfam family "Bacterial small subunit ribosomal RNA", at positions 28 to 507 of the family's 1533-position model. The record is from RNAcentral.